Molecule: non-coding RNA, 3645 nt
Organism: Podarcis lilfordi (Lilford's wall lizard)
Lineage: Eukaryota; Metazoa; Chordata; Lepidosauria; Squamata; Lacertidae
Source: the annotation of a GenBank genome assembly
GAGAACAACCCCAUUCCCAUUAGGUAAUGGAUUCCAUUGGUUCUAUCAUCAGUUUUUAUGUAUUAUUAUCACAGGCGACAAAAAUAUCCUCUGAUGGUUUCAGGUGUCUGAUACACCUGGUUGCUGGACAGAAAAUUGGUAAUAGAUAUUUGUUUGUUCUUUUGUGUACAGUGGUACCUUGGGUUACAGACGCUUCAGGUUACAGACGCUUCAGGUUACAGACUCCGCUAACUCAGAAAUAGUACCUCGGGUUAAGAACUUUGCUUCAGGAUGAGAACAGAAAUUACACGGUGGCAGUGUGGUGGCAGUGGGAGGCCCCGUUUGCUAAAAUAGUACCUCAUGUUAAGAACAGUUUCAAGUUAAGAAUGGACCUCCGGAACGAAUUAAGUUCUUAACCCGAGGUACCACUGUAUUACUCUUCUUCUUCUUCUUCUUCUUCUUCUUCUUCUUCUUCUUCUUCUUCUUCUUUUUCUUCUUCUUCCUCCCCCUCCUCCUCCUCUUCUUCUUUUCCUGUUUAAAAUUUGGUCCUGCAUUUAAACAGGAGUGAUCUUCAGAGACUGGACCUACAUCUUGAAUGGAAUUUUCCUUUAUUUUCAGACCAGAUAAACACCAAUAUGCUGGUUUGCACCCAUCACUAGUUUUGAUGUAUGCUAUAGUAAUAUACCAUAGUUUUGCAGAAGGGAAAACAAAUUGGAUCCAUAGGAAGUCAACCAUAACUUCAGAGCUGAUGGUGUUUGAGGCUUUAAUAUUGGGCUAGUUAGAGCAUCUUUGGUUUCUGAGGCAUUAAAACAACUUCUAAUUGAAUAAACCUUGAGAGUAAAAAUGAGAUUUUUAUUGAUUGGGGAGAGAAUGGGGCCUGGGAAGCCAAAUACAUUUUUACGCACAUAUAUAGUUCAAAGGGAACAGAACUGCUCACAGCCUGCUCUCUUCCUUAACCCACUCCUGAGCUAGCUGCUGGCUGUUCAUCACUUCCAUGCUGAUUCGUACAAUAGCUCACGCUUGAAGGUGGCCAAUAAUUCAAUUAGGCUGACUGAAUUCACAGUUGUGUUUUAUCUUAAUAAUACAGUACUUGGAGCUGCAAUUAUUUCCGUUGCCUCUUGUAAAAAAAAAAGAAAAAAGAGUCACAUACUGAAAGAAGAAGCUGUCAAAAUAAAAUGAGUGGCAUCUAUUAAUUGCAUCAUACAAAAGGCUAUUGAAAUGCUAUUCUUUCAGAAGGAAAAGCAGAGAGAGAGAAAACACGCUAUCAGCCUCUAACAAACGCUAUGGAUGGAGAAGGGCAAAAGGCCGACAAGCUCAAUAGCUGAGUUUAAAACAAAAAUCACUCUGUGGUAUCAGUUAGCAUGCUUGGAUUUCUGUGAAGACAUGCUGGUGCCUACCUGCUUGCACCCCCAUGUUGAUGGGGCGGGCUCCUUUUCAACCCAAGGGUCACACUCCUUCAUGGGCAACAUUCUGGGGCUGCAUACCAGUGGUGGAUGGGAUCUAGGGAUCAGGAAAAACAUUGAUUCACUUCAUAUUUAAAGAUGAACUUACUUAAUUUGUAGUUCCCAGAACUGCUUGUGAAGGUAAACACAGCCAUUUUUCAAAAUUUGCACUUUUCUGAAUUUCCCAGUGCAGUUCUUCAGCCAAGGAAUCUGUUCAAAAAUGCUUAUACCAGAGGGAAAUGUGAGUAUAAGGGCACAUUAGUGAAAACAUAAGAAAUGUCUUAUUUUUUUGGGGGGGGGGGUAAAAAAAGGGGGGCAUGAAUUAGGCAAAAUUGCAUACAAUCAUGUGUUUAUGAGGAAAAAUUCACACUAAAAUGCUGAUGAGUUUUGAGGGGGGCUUAAUUUUUUAAAAUAAAAUAAAUCACAAACUGAUGUGGAAAUGUGGAGACCUAAACUGUGUUCUGACUUCUGUCAGUUUCUCCUUUUCCUAGUCUUCAGUUUAUCCAAACAUCCCUAGGUGGGGUCAGUCAGAUACAGAAGUGGGCACAACAGUGGGUGUGAUUCUGACCUUUGUACCACGUGUUACAUUCCAGUCAUGCAAAUGUAAGACAUUUCUGCACACAGGUGCACACCCACACAUCUCCAUCCUCCUUUCUGGCAAGCAAAAGGCAUUGUCAUGGUUUAAGGGCACAUUCUAGACAGACAAAAGCAUUGAAGGAUGGUGUGGUCUGUGGGACGGGUGUGGCUUGGAGUUACAAGGGCCAACAAGAGAGACAUAUCCAUAUUUGGUCACCAGGCCUGAGCCUCCCCAGCCCAGUGUACACCAUUUUAUACAUUCUUUCUCUAAAUACGUUUUGUGUGCUUUUCAAUGUACAGUGGUACCUCCGGUUGUGCACAGGAUGCAUUCUGGAGCUCCGGUCGGAUCCUGAGGAAUUCGCAACUGGAGGUGCCACUUCUGCGCAUGCGUGCGGCACAGUAGAACACUUCUGCGCAUGCACACGGUGCAUAGAGCACUUCUGCACAUGCGCGCAUGGCUAAACCCAGAAAAAUACUUCCGGGUUUGCCGCGUUCGCAUCCUGAAGGAUACACAACCAGAGGUGUGCUUAUCCAAAGGAACCAAUGUAUUUUCCCCUAAAUCCACAUUGGUUUGUGUGCUUUGGGAAACAAAACCAUGCCACAAAAUUCAUGGCAGUGUGUGAUAUCAUUCACUGUGCUCCAAUCUGCAGGUGUCUGAGGCAAGAUGUGGACCAAAUGAAUUUCUCCUCCUUUUCUGUUUGCAGGAUAACUAAUUACUUGGGAUUUAUAGCAUCUUCACAUGUAGCUAGUCAUACGGCAUAGGCUUAAAUAUAUUCAGAUUUAAAUACAUUCAGAUAUAAAGCUCUGUGCCUGAAUAGCAACUGUUUCUGAAAUUUUCUUUUAUUCAUGGCAGGCUUGUGAUAAAGGAAACAGGUUCAACACUGAACUUCUCAGCAAAGUCUCUGUGCAGCUUUGUUAUAAAAAAAAGAGAGAGAGAGAGAGGCUGCAUUCAUGAAUAAACAAAAUCCCCAUGAUGCCACAGUGAGUGAACACCAGCCGAUAGGAUAUUGCAGACAUAUCACUCCUGACAGGGCUAAGCAAUAGGUGAUAGAGAUAAGUGGGGUUGGAAUAAAAUGUGAUUAAUCCAGCCUUUUUGAUUCUGUUUUGAUUUUGAAAAACACAGAGCCAGCUAUUCAUCUUCUGUCUCUGGAAGGAGUAAAUCAGCUGAUAAGCGAAAGUGAAAUAUAAGUGAGGUGCUGAAGAAGUCAAAUGGCCAUGUGUUCAUAAACUGCUUAUGCAAAUCUGGAGAAUGGGAUUAAGAAGCCAUUGGGAAAGGUUGCCCAAUCUUAGUGACCAUCAGAAUUUAUGCAGAUAAGCACACUGGAGGGAAAUGAUGAUGCAAAUAACAAUCAUACGAACAGGCAAAGUAAAUGAAAGAGCAAAAAAGAAUUUAGAUUAGUAAGCCCAGGCUAUUAUACCACUGAAAAAGUAAGGUCAGCUCUAGGACCAAAGAAAGCUGGUAGUUUAUGUUUUCCUUUUGACUUAUGCAUUACCCGUCAAGUGAUAAGGUUUAAGAGGUGUUCAGAAAGUUUAGCUGAAAUAUUGAAGAAAUUGUUGCCCAGUGGGUGAAAUAAUAUUAUCCUCCUUGAAUGAUUUGUUGGUUGAUUAGCCAGAUUUUAAUUUUUUUUAAUUUCACACCUGCAAAAAA